AAACAUAUGAGUGCCUCGCAAGAGGAGCCCGAUGACAGGUGCUGCAUGGCUGUCGUCAGCUCGUGUCGUGAGAUGUUGGGUUAAGUCCCGCAACGAGCGCAACCCUUGUCUUUAGUUGCCAUCAUUAAGUUGGGCACUCUAAAGAGACUGCCGGUGUCAAACCGGAGGAAGGUGGGGAUGACGUCAAGUCCUCAUGGCCUUUAUGACCAGGGCUACACACGUACUACAAUGGCAGGUACAAAGGGCAGCCACUUAGCGAUAAGGAGCGAAUCCCGUAAAACCUGUCUCAGUCCGGAUUGGAGUCUGCAACUCGACUCCAUGAAGUUGGAAUCGCUAGUAAUCGCAGAUCAGCACGCUGCGGUGAAUACGUUCCCGGGCCUU
RNAcentral lists this ribosomal RNA (381 nucleotides) under uncultured Desulfocapsa sp. RNAcentral describes it as "bacterial SSU rRNA". It matches the Rfam family "Bacterial small subunit ribosomal RNA", at positions 1002 to 1382 of the family's 1533-position model. The record is from RNAcentral. Lineage: Bacteria; Pseudomonadati; Thermodesulfobacteriota; Desulfobulbia; Desulfobulbales; Desulfocapsaceae.